This is a long non-coding RNA of Rhododendron vialii, 1673 nucleotides long. RefSeq lists it as uncharacterized. The transcript is spliced from 4 exons. The record is from RefSeq and is a predicted model, not a curated record. NCBI's taxonomy places the organism in Eukaryota, Viridiplantae, Streptophyta, Magnoliopsida, Ericales, Ericaceae.
UUUAAUCGAACACCAUUAGAAUUUUAUAAUCAGUUAGAAUUUACACAAAUUUUGCACUUGUAGGAUUUGGAUUUACAUUCGUCGAGGCAUCGGUUUUCAUUUGGAUAACAUAUUGGGGUUUUUAGGUUGACUGACUCAUUCGGAUAACAAGCUCAAGAAAUAGGAGAUGAAAAAUAUUGUUUCCAUGCGUCAUGGGGACACUCCCCCAGCCCCCAAGCUAUUUCCAUCCCAAAUCUUCUUAUCCACAGGUAACGGGCAAUUUUUUGAUUUCCAUAAUUUUUUGUCUCCACAUGCGAUCUUUACUUGUUGAGCUCAAAUUUCGUGAUGUACAUGUCCCUACUUUUUAUAGCUAUAUUCAAUCUUCACGUUGUGAUAUUCUUUCACAGUUCAUGGUUUGUGAGAUUAUUUGUGUUUGCUUUUUUUCUGGGCAAGUGCAAUUAUAUCCUUUCUCAUUAUUGGUCACAGAGAUAACUCUUCAGACAGCACAAUUCUUUCAUCCUACCACUUGUUUGAUUUAAUUUCUGAGAGGAAAUAGAUGUCAUGACAUGCUGAUAAAUGAAUCUCAAGUUGCAUAAGAAGAUGGCCCUAUUGAUUUAGAACAUAGAAUCAGCAGGUGUUUUUGUUGCCAAAACAAGAAAUGAACUAGAAAUAAGAGGUAGAAACAACUUUUGCCAAUACUAAUGACCAGGACUCCACUUUCUUUUACAGGACAACAAACAAUGCUGCUAAUGCUGCCUAGGUAUGCACCUCUUGUUCCUGUACUAUGGAAAUUUAUGAAGCAAUGCCACGAGAAUCAGAAGUGAUCAGCCUUGUCUGGGCAUUUAACAUAUCUGCCGGCAGAUGCACCUAGCUGGCUAUUACCUUUGUCAGUUUUCUGCCCUGUAUAUAAGCAUAUGCUUACGAUAGUUGUUAAUGGGGAGUUCUACGAGCAAGAGAAGCCACUGUCUUUAAAAGUUAUCAAAUGCUUGAUUGUUAUCUUUAAGGCAGGUAAUAUUUGUAGUUGUAGAAUCUUUAGGUCAAUGUAUUUCAGAGAAAAUGGCUCUCUACAGUAUUUGAUAGUCCUUUCCCCUUUUAGGUCACUAUAUAUCAUGGCAAGGUGAAAAAGAAAGCAUUGUACUAUUGUUAUUUCUCAUCUGAGGAGUUUUUGACCUAUACUGUUGAUCAUUUGUUGGUAGUAUAUCACCAGUGAAGUUUACAUUAUGCUCAGUGGCCUUUUUAUUUCCUGACGGGCUAUAAAGAUGGAUGUCCAGUUGCCAUUUAACAUUUUGGUUGCUCAUUUCUGUAGGCCUUAUGGCAGCUCCUGUGGUUGAAUCCUGUUGCUUCCCCAAAUGUAUCCAAGUCUACUGUUGAUGUCUUUUCUCUUAAGAGGCACCCCUUGAAUUUAUUCAGCAUAGAGUUAGCAUUGUAGCUUCCAAUCUUCUAUCACAGGUAAGGAGUUGGAGUUGCUUUUUGACAGUUUACCAAGAUGGAGUUGAAGACUUUUUGGUAGAUAAAUGGAACACUUGUUUUGAGUUCUUUUUGUCAUUGGACACACCAUGGAUAUGGAUGUUUUGUAGUUUCGGUAAUGCUGUUAAGUUUGAAGUGGUCAUUGUUGUAGGAUGAAUGUUUUGAAAGGUUGUAAAGUUGGAUGAUGAAUGUUUGACUUAUUGGAUAUUUAAUUUGAAUGAUAUUUU